CUAGCGACUUCAGAGUUUGAUCCUGGCUCAGGAUGAACGCUAGCGGCAGGCUUAACACAUGCAAGUCGAGGGGCAGCAUGAGACGGAGAUUCGUCGAAGUCUUGAUGGCGACCGGCGCAAGGGUGCGUAACGCGUGAGCAACUUGCCCGUUUCAGGGGGAUAACCGGUGGAAACGCCGACUAAUACCCCAUAGCAUUGCGAGAAGGCAUCUUUUUGCAAUUAAAGAAAUUCGGAAACGGAUAGGCUCGCGUGACAUUAGCUAGAUGGUGAGGUAACGGCUCACCAUGGCGACGAUGUCUAGGGGUUCUGAGAGGAAGGUCCCCCACACUGGAACUGAGACACGGUCCAG
RNAcentral lists this ribosomal RNA (349 nucleotides) under uncultured bacterium. Its description in RNAcentral is "bacterial SSU rRNA". It matches the Rfam family "Bacterial small subunit ribosomal RNA", at positions 1 to 334 of the family's 1533-position model. The record is from RNAcentral.